RNAcentral lists this ribosomal RNA (253 nucleotides) under uncultured bacterium. RNAcentral describes it as "partial 16S ribosomal RNA". It matches the Rfam family "Bacterial small subunit ribosomal RNA", at positions 524 to 776 of the family's 1533-position model. The record is from RNAcentral.
UACGAAGGGUGCAAGCGUUACCCGGAAUUACUGGGCGUAAAGGGUGCGUAGGUGGUUGUUUAAGUCUGUUGUGAAAGCCCCGGGCUCAACCUGGGAAUGGCAAUGGAUACUGGACAGCUAGAGUGCGGUAGAGGGUAGUGGAAUUCCCGGUGUAGCAGUGAAAUGCGUAGAGAUCGGGAGGAACACCAGUGGCGAAGGCGGCUACCUGGACCAGCACUGACACUGAAGCACGAAAGCGUGGGGAGCAAACAGG